Molecule: unclassified non-coding RNA, 391 nt
Filed under: soil metagenome
Description: partial contains 5.8S ribosomal RNA, internal transcribed spacer 2, and large subunit ribosomal RNA
Rfam family: 5.8S ribosomal RNA (bases 1-122)
Source: RNAcentral
GAUGAAGAACGGAGCGAAAUGCGAUACUUGGUGUGAAUUGCAGAAUCCCGUGAACCAUCGAGUCUUUGAACGCAAGUUGCGCCCGAAGCCACUAGGCCGAGGGCACGCCUGCCUGGGCGUCACACGCCGUUGCCCCCCCAUCUACUCCUUCGGGAUUGCGGGGGGGCGGAUGAUGGCCUCCUGUGCGCCUAGCCGCGCGGUUGGCAUAAAUACCAAGUCCUCGGCGACGCACGCCACGACAAUCGGUGGUUGCGAAACCUCGGUUGCCCGUCGUGUGCGUUCGUCGCGCAUCGAGGGCUCGAAAAAAUGCUCGGCUCCGGCUGGGCUUUCAACGCGACCCCAGGUCAGGCGGGGUUACCCGCUGAAUUUAAGCAUAUCAAUAAGCGGAGGA